Nycticebus coucang (slow loris) is the source of this 375-nucleotide long non-coding RNA. RefSeq lists it as uncharacterized. NCBI's taxonomy places the organism in Eukaryota, Metazoa, Chordata, Mammalia, Primates, Lorisidae. The transcript has 3 exons. The record is from RefSeq and is a predicted model, not a curated record.
GGCAAGUGUUUGCAAUAGGUCAGAGUCCAGCUGGCCAUGGGAGCUGUGGUGGCAGCAGCUACAGCAAGGAUGAACCAAUUCGAAGCAAUGCUGAGGAACAAACUACAUCAAAUGCCCUGCAGCUCAUUCUAUGUCUUGCCUACUAUCGCAAAAAAUUCUGGACUUCUUCCAAGGUCAUAAGAUCGACAUUUAAAUUCAGAAUUCCAGAAAAUUUUUUCAGCUUACGAUGCAGACAUGUGCCUGGAGUUUCUAUAGCUACCCGGAGACCAGCGGUGAAGGAUGGCUAAGCAGAAGUAUAAAGAGAGUAGAGUUGAAGCUGUUGCACUAAUUCUGGGCCUCCUACCUUCAAAUGACUUGUAAUUUGAGGUAAAAUAA